This 253-nucleotide ribosomal RNA is filed under the name uncultured bacterium. Its description in RNAcentral is "partial 16S ribosomal RNA". It matches the Rfam family "Bacterial small subunit ribosomal RNA", at positions 524 to 776 of the family's 1533-position model. The record is from RNAcentral.
UACGUAGGGUCCGAGCGUUGUCCGGAAUUACUGGGCGUAAAGAGCUCGUAGGUGGUUUGUCGCGUUGUUCGUGAAAACUCACAGCUCAACUGUGGGCGUGCGGGCGAUACGGGCAGACUGGAGUACUGCAGGGGAGACUGGAAUUCCUGGUGUAGCGGUGAAAUGCGCAGAUAUCAGGAGGAACACCGAUGGCGAAGGCAGGUCUCUGGGCCAUAACUGACGCUGAGAAGCGAAAGCAUGGGGAGCGAACAGG